Molecule: unclassified non-coding RNA, 377 nt
Filed under: uncultured Actinomycetes bacterium
Lineage: Bacteria; Bacillati; Actinomycetota; Actinomycetes
Description: uncultured actinobacterium contains 16S-23S intergenic spacer region
Source: RNAcentral
UCCGGUUUGGCACCGGCGGUCUCCCAUGAGUCCCCGGCAUAACCCGCUGGCAACAUGGGACAGGGGUUGCGCUCGUUGCGCCACUUAAGGCAACACCUCACGGCACGAGCUGACGACAGCCAUGCAGCACCUGUGCCGGCUCCCGAAGGAGCGCCGUGUUUCCACAAUUUCACCCGGCAUGUCAAGCCCUGGUAAGGUUCUUCGCGUUGCGUCGAAUUAAACCACAUACUCCACCACUUAUACAGGCCCCCGUCAAUUCCUUUGAGUUUUAGCCUUGCGGCCGUACUCCCCAGGCGGGGUGCUUAAUGCGUUAGCUGCGGCACGGAGAGGGUUGAUGCUCCCCACACCUAGCACCCAACGUUUACGGCUGGGACUAC